AGUGAACGCUGGCGGUAGGCCUAACACAUGCAAGUCGAACGGCAGCACAGUAAGAGCUUGCUCUUACGGGUGGCGAGUGGCGGACGGGUGAGGAAUACAUCGGAAUCUACUUUUUCGUGGGGGAUAACGUAGGGAAACUUACGCUAAUACCGCAUACGACCUACGGGUGAAAGCAGGGGGUCUUCGGACCUUGCGCGAUUGAAUGAGCCGAUGUCGGAUUAGCUAGUUGGCGGGGUAAAGGCCCACCAAGGCGACGAUCCGUAGCUGGUCUGAGAGGAUGAUCAGCCACACUGGAACUGAGACACGGUCCAGACUCCUACGGGAGGCAGCAGUGGGGAAUACUGGACAAUGGGCGCAAGCCUGAUCCAGCCAUACCGCGUGGGUGAAGAAGGCCUUCGGGUUGUAAAGCCCUUUUGUUGGGAAAGAAAAGCAGCAGGUUAAUACCCCGCUGUUCUGACGGUACCCAAAGAAUAAGCACCGGCUAACUUCGUG
RNAcentral lists this ribosomal RNA (492 nucleotides) under uncultured bacterium. RNAcentral's name for it is "partial 16S ribosomal RNA". It matches the Rfam family "Bacterial small subunit ribosomal RNA", at positions 29 to 507 of the family's 1533-position model. The record is from RNAcentral.